GACAGAGGGUGCAAACGUUGCUCGGAAUUACUGGGCGUAAAGCGCGUGUAGGCGGACUUGCAAGUCAGAUGUGAAAUCCCCGAGCUCAACUCGGGAACUGCAUUUGAAACUGCCUGUCUUGAGUAGUGGAGAGGAAAGCAGAAUUCCUGGUGUAGAGGUGAAAUUCGUAGAUAUCAGGAGGAACACCGGUGGCGAAGGCGGCUUUCUGGACACUUACUGACGCUGAGACGCGAAAGCGUGGGGAGCAAACAGG
RNAcentral lists this ribosomal RNA (253 nucleotides) under uncultured bacterium. RNAcentral describes it as "partial 16S ribosomal RNA". It matches the Rfam family "Bacterial small subunit ribosomal RNA", at positions 524 to 776 of the family's 1533-position model. The record is from RNAcentral.